AACGAACGCUGGCGGCGUGGAUUAGGCAUGCAAGUCGAACGAGAUCCGGUGUGUAGCAAUAUAUGCCGGUGAAAGUGGCGGAAGGGUGAGGAACGCGUGGGUAAUCUGCCCUUAAGUUGGGGAUAGCUCUGCGAAAGCGGAAUUAAUACCGAAUGUGGUCGUCCCGGGCAUCCGGGACUAUCUGAAGCCGGGGAUCCGCAAGGAUCUGGCGCUUAAGGAUGAACCCGCGUCCUAUCAGCUUGUUGGUGAGGUAACGGCUCACCAAGGCUUACGGGUAGCUGGUCUGAGAGGAUGGUCAGCCACACUGGGACUGAGACACUGCCCAGACUCCUACGGGUGGCAG
This 343-nucleotide ribosomal RNA is filed under the name uncultured Lentisphaerota bacterium. RNAcentral describes it as "bacterial SSU rRNA". It matches the Rfam family "Bacterial small subunit ribosomal RNA", at positions 29 to 351 of the family's 1533-position model. Lineage: Bacteria; Pseudomonadati; Lentisphaerota. The record is from RNAcentral.